AGUUCAGGUCCUCGUCUUUUAGAGCCAUCCAUGCCAUCUCGUCAAAAUGAAGCCUUGGAAGGUCUAAACUCCGAAAAACAGAAGAGGGAGAAGGAUGAGAGGGAGGCAAUGGAAAUAGGAAUCGGGAAUAUUGCAAUCAAUGCUGAUACUAAAGCAGUUAAAGAUUCUCCUUCUGGUAUUAAAUUUUCCAAGACAGCCAUAGCUAGCUCAUCUAAGUAGGACUGGCCUAUGGGACUAGCAAUCUUCUCCUCCUUAUCAUCCAUAUGCUGUUUUCUGCAACAGCAGAUGGUGUCCUGGCAAGGCGUGAUUACUUCAGGCAAUGGUUUAAUUUCAAUAUAAAAUUUUUAAUGGGCAAGGAAUGGAAUGAAAUGGAUGUCAAGUGGCUCUGAUGCCACUGCCGGUUUAGGCAGAGCAUUAUAUUAAACAAAAACGGAUACCAUGGGAGAAUACUUUUUCAAGAACAACUAUUGGAGUGUACACCAUCCAUCCAUGAAGAAUUGGUCGCAUGAAGCCUUUGCUACAAACUCUGUUUGUGAAGAUUGUUCAUUUUAUGUAAUACAGGUACUGGUUUACAUCUAUGAAAUUACUGGAACUAUAGAUACAUUACUUAAAUUCUAUCAUUUUUUGC
RNAcentral lists this unclassified non-coding RNA (628 nucleotides) under Hevea brasiliensis (rubber tree). The record is from RNAcentral. Lineage: Eukaryota; Viridiplantae; Streptophyta; Magnoliopsida; Malpighiales; Euphorbiaceae.